CCUACGGGUGGCAGCAGUGGGGAAUCUUUCACAAUGGGGGGAACCCUGAUGCAGCGACGCCGCGUGCGUGAAGAAGGCCUUCGGGAUGUAAAGCUCUGUUAGCAGGGAAGAAGAAGGACGGUACUUGACCAAGAAGCCCCGGCUAACUACGUCCAAGCAGCCGCGGUAAUACGUAGGGGGCAAGCGUUAUCCGGAUUUACGGGGUAUAAAGGGAGCGUAGAUGGCAGGGCAAGUCUGGAGUGAAAGGGAGGGGCCCAACCCCUGGACUGCUGGGGAAACUGUCCGGCUGGAGUGCAGGAGAGGUAAGUGGAAUUCCUAGUGUAGCGGUGAAAUGCGUAGAUAUUAGGAGGAACACCAGUGGCGAAGGCAGCUUACUGGACUGUAACUGACGUUGAGGCUCGAAAGCGUGGGGAGCAAACAGGAUUAGAUACCCGUGUAGUC
RNAcentral lists this ribosomal RNA (441 nucleotides) under uncultured bacterium. RNAcentral's name for it is "partial 16S ribosomal RNA". It matches the Rfam family "Bacterial small subunit ribosomal RNA", at positions 338 to 795 of the family's 1533-position model. The record is from RNAcentral.